GACGAACGCUGGCGGCGUGCCUAAUACAUGCAAGUAGAACGCUGAAGCGAGGAGCUUGCUCUUCUUGGAUGAGUUGCGAACGGGUGAGUAACGCGUAGGUAACCUGCCUGGUAGCGGGGGAUAACUAUUGGAAACGAUAGCUAAUACCGCAUAAAAUGGAUUAUCGCAUGAUAAUCCAUUGAAAGGUGCAAAUGCAUCACUACCAGAUGGACCUGCGUUGUAUUAGCUAGUUGGUGGGGUAACGGCUCACCAAGGCGACGAUACAUAGCCGACCUGAGAGGGUGAUCGGCCACACUGGGACUGAGACACGGCCCAGACUCCUACGGGAGGCAGCAGUAGGGAAUCUUCGGCAAUGGACGGAAGUCUGACCGAGCAACGCCGCGUGAGUGAAGAAGGGUUUCGGAUCGUAAAGCUCUGUUGUAAGAGAAGAACGAGUGUGAGAGUGGAAAGUUCACACUGUGACGGUAUCUUACCAGAAAGGGACGGCUAACUACGUG
RNAcentral lists this ribosomal RNA (497 nucleotides) under uncultured bacterium. RNAcentral's name for it is "partial 16S ribosomal RNA". It matches the Rfam family "Bacterial small subunit ribosomal RNA", at positions 28 to 507 of the family's 1533-position model. The record is from RNAcentral.